CGCCCAACAGCUAGCCCCUUUAAACAAUCACAACAAACCCCUGUUAAUUACCCCCAAAUACCCCCGUGUUUACUUCAAACAAACCAUUCUCCCCCCUUAGUAUAGGCGAUAGAAAA
RNAcentral lists this ribosomal RNA (116 nucleotides) under Eumicrotremus awae. RNAcentral describes it as "partial 16S rRNA". The record is from RNAcentral. Lineage: Eukaryota; Metazoa; Chordata; Actinopteri; Perciformes; Cyclopteridae.